GACGGAAUCAGCUAACGAAGCUUUCGGGCCCAUACCCCGGACAUGAUGGUUAAAACCCCUCCUCCGCCA
RNAcentral lists this transfer RNA (69 nucleotides) under Spinibarbichthys denticulatus. RNAcentral's name for it is "tRNA-Met". The record is from RNAcentral. Lineage: Eukaryota; Metazoa; Chordata; Actinopteri; Cypriniformes; Cyprinidae.